GGGGUGGGGGUGAGAAUCCUUCACAAGUCUUAAAUGGAAUUAAACCUGCGUGCUUACAUUAACAAGGUAACAAGAAAAAAACCGGUCUAAACAGAAAACGGCCGGAAACCCAAUGAGGUCCUAAAUAUAGUAAGUAGGCAAUAAAGGAUAAAUGUUUCUAGCAAGUAAAAGCCAAGAAGUAAAUACCAGGUAGGCUGCACCUGCCUUCCUUAUCUAACCUUUUAAGAAUGCUAUCGCUGGUUCCUGUUUGUCCACACCUCCAGCUGAGGGGGGAGGUGUUCCUGGGGGCAGAUUGUGUUUGCAGUCGCAUCUCUCCACGUCGGCUGCCUUCGCUGGCUCCGGCCUGGGCCUGGAUGUCUUAUCUUACUUUAUGGGUUCACCCACUGUGGGGAGGAAGGCUAGCAAACGCGGGCUCAGGAUGCGCCCUGGCGCUUCUUUAUUUAUUUAAUCAAUUUCAGCACGUAAAGGAGAACUUACUUAUUUCUCAACACUUCUUUCUGUUUCCUGAAAGGCUGAAAAAAGAGUCCUUAAUUCCCCUCAGCACUGUUUGAGGUGAGCAACUACAACUACACAAGACAAAGACGAAAGACUUUUUCAAGCUCAAAAAUCCUGUGAUUCUUUGAUUCUAAGAAGAGAUUUUCUGACAAGGAGUUUGCCUAAGGUAAGAGAAUCCUGACUGCCCAGGAUAUUACAGUCACUAGGUGGUUUCCUGGGCAGGCCGGGCCCCCGCUGGGACCCCACACAUUAGCUCUUUUUGGGAGGGAGGCCAGUUCUUAAACUUCCUCAACACCUUCCUUCCCGCAGUGUCCACAAGGCUUGUGUCUCCUCCCAGUUGCCGGCCUGCCGGCAUGUGGGCUGCCUGUGGAGAGGGGCCGUAGGCCUGUGUUGUGAAUGACGUCUGCAGGGCAUGGGGUUGACUUUGAAGAAGGUGUGAUCCUAAGUUGUGUUUGACCUGAGCUCCUGUCACCCCUGAAGGCAGCAGAGGAUGUCCUGUCGGUGACCCAGGAGGACGG
Molecule: long non-coding RNA, 1013 nt
Filed under: Cercocebus atys (sooty mangabey)
Lineage: Eukaryota; Metazoa; Chordata; Mammalia; Primates; Cercopithecidae
Description: lncRNA (ENSCATG00000045835.1)
Source: RNAcentral